RNAcentral lists this ribosomal RNA (373 nucleotides) under uncultured eukaryote. RNAcentral's name for it is "partial 18S ribosomal RNA". It matches the Rfam family "Eukaryotic small subunit ribosomal RNA", at positions 592 to 976 of the family's 1831-position model. The record is from RNAcentral.
CAAUAGCGUAUAUUAAAGUUGUUGCAGUUAAAAAGCUCGUAGUUGAAUUUUUGCUUGCCGCCGAUGUCGGAACUUCCGUACGUUCGGCGGCGUGCAUCCUUGGGUGGAACCUGUGUGGCAUUAGGUUGUCGUGCAGGGGAUGCUCAUCGUUUACUGUGAAAAAAUUAGAGUGUUCAAAGCAGGCUUACGCCGUUGAAUAUAUUAGCAUGGAAUAAUAAGAUAGGACCUUGGUACUAUUUUGUUGGUUUGCGCACCGAGGUAAUGAUUAACAGGGACAGUUGGGGGUAUUCGUAUUCCAUUGUCAGAGGUGAAAUUCUUGGAUUUCUGGAAGACGAACUACUGCGAAAGUAUUUACCAAGGAUGUUUUCAUUAA